UGGGGAAUUUUGGACAAUGGGCGAAAGCCUGAUCCAGCAAUGCCGCGUGUGUGAAGAAGGCCUUCGGGUUGUAAAGCACUUUUGUCCGGAAAGAAAUCCUUGGCUCUAAUACAGUCGGGGGAUGACGGUACCGGAAGAAUAAGCACCGGCUAACUACGUGCCAGCAGCCGCGGUAAUACGUAGGGUGCAAGCGUUAAUCNGGAAUUACUGGCGUAAAGCGUGCGCAGGCGGUUUGCUAAGACCGAUGUGAAAUCCCCGGGCUCAACCUGGGAACUGCAUUGGUGACUGGCAGGCUAGAGUAUGGCAGAGGGGGGUAGAAUUCCACGUGUAGCAGUGAAAUGCGUAGAGAUGUGGAGGAAUACCGAUGGCGAAGGCAGCCCCCUGGGCCAAUACUGACGCUCAUGCACGAAAAGCGUGGGGAGCAAACAGGAUUAGAUACCCUGGUAGUCCACGCCCUAAACGAUGUCAACUAGUUGUUGGGGAUUCAUUUCCUUAGUAACGUAGCUAACGCGUNAAGUUGACCGCCUGGGGGAGUACGGUCG
Molecule: ribosomal RNA, 542 nt
Filed under: uncultured bacterium
Lineage: Bacteria
Description: partial 16S ribosomal RNA
Rfam family: Bacterial small subunit ribosomal RNA
Source: RNAcentral